Molecule: long non-coding RNA, 4464 nt
Filed under: Stegodyphus dumicola
Lineage: Eukaryota; Metazoa; Arthropoda; Arachnida; Araneae; Eresidae
Description: uncharacterized LOC118199363
Source: RNAcentral
AGGUAAUCUCUCAAUCAUUGUACAAAAUUCACUUGAGGAGAGGCCAUUUGAAAAAAAAAAAAUAAUGGUCAACAUCAGCUUCCUGAAGAGAAAUGUUCAUCAUUUGAAUUCAUAUUUCAAAUGACCGAUUACAUUUCUUGAAAGUGGAGAUUUCAUAGAAAUUAAUAGUUUGCUGAACGUUCAUAUAUGCUGGAAACUAAUGUAUAUGAAGAGGUUAUCAAAUAAGCUGGAAGCCAUUAUGUAUGCUGAAAGUCAUUGCAUAAGAAUAGGUCUUGGACUUUUGUGGAAUCUUCUGCUCCAAAACAUUAUAAGCAUGGUGAAAACUCAUUAGUGUCGAGCUUAGCCAAAAUGUUUCAUUAUUUUAUCUAUAAAUAUUUUUCUGUUUGUUGUAUAGCCUGGAUAAAAAUCACAUAUUUAUAUUUCAUUGUUAACAAAUGAAUAUUUUUAAGUGAUGUGUGCAGUCAGAAUUGAAAAUUUUCCUCUGCAUAAAUUCCCACCUUGUAAAUUUUAAACAUGCAUUUUAAGGCAUUGGUGAAGUGGUGGAUACUGUUACUGAAUGUAAUCUAUGUAGUUUUUAUAAAACGAUUUGUAAUUUGGUAUUUUUUGCAGAAAACUUACGGUUGUGGGUUUAAAGUAUAUAUAAAUAGUACCCGAGCUGUGAUUCAUUAAUACUAGAAUAAAGACUUUAAUGGAAUUUGAUGUUAUGGCUUAAAAGUGCUGUUUUAUAUUUAAAAAAAUAACUUUCAAGUUUAAAACUAUUUUAAAUUAAAUUGUUUUCUUUCUGAAUGAAUUGUGAGAGCCAAAAGCUGUUAUACUACAUAAGCUACAUAAAGGUUGCUAGGAAUAAUCACAGUUGUAAAUUAAUGUAAUGCAAUAUUUUUAGUUGUUAUACAUUAUAAUGCAUUUUCCUAUUCAAAACUGAAAUUUUGUGAACAUUAAUAAUGAAUAUUUAAAUCUGAUUCUGUAUUAUGUGAGUUUUUGCUUGUAAAUUUUGCAUAAUGCUUAUGAGAAACUCAUUGAAUAUUGUGUCAUUCAAACUGUAUGCUAAUAAUAUUUUAAUUAAAAAUUUUGCUAACUUAAUAAUUUAUAUUUAUAAUUAUAUCCAAAUGUAUUGUCACAUUACAAAUUAGCCAAUUGGUGAAUCCUUGAAGCUUAGAAUUAUCGUUAUUGAUUUUUAAGAAGCUGUUCUGUCUGGUGAAAAAUAUAUCCCUUAGCCCUUUUUCUAAAUUUAUGCUUCAAAAGUUCUUUUUUUUUUUUUUUUUUUUUUUUAAUUAUUUGAAUUUUAUUGAAUUAAAAAAUAUAUUAGUAAUACUGCCCCUUCUUCCAAGAUUUAUUAACUUGAUUAAGGGACUCAAUCUGAGAAAAUUUGUAGUUAUGCAAAUAUAGUUUUUCAUGGAAACUGUUUCAAAGGAAUUGUAUUUGCUAUGAUUUUAAGUAGGUGUGUAUCUUAUUUUUAAUUAGAUUGAUAAAUUAGCUAAAAUUUGAUUUGGAAAAAAUCUGUCCAAGUAUCACAGUUGGAAAUAGCAAAUUUUUAUGAUUAAAAAUAGGUCUGUGUUUGUCCUUUUAUUAUUGGUGAUGGAUAAUAAAUAUUUUAAAAAUAUCAGGAGUAAAUUUUGUUUGUGGUAAUAAGAAGAUACAGUAGUAUUUUUUGUGUUCUCUGAUUAUCUGCACCUCCAAUUUCAAUAUUCAAUGUAAUAGCCGUAUUUUUGAGUAUACAUGCUAUAAUAGCCAACUAAACAAAUUUUACUGGCUAUGAAUGUAUACAUAUAAUCAUAGUUUCUCUAAUCUGCGUACUCAGUUGGCCCUACAAAUUUUAGUUUUUUCCAAAAGAAUUUCAUUUUUGUUAUAAAACUUUAUUAUUUUUUUUUAACAUCAUGAGUGUGCUGUAAAAAUAUCCGAACCAAUGUUUUUUGCUAGUUUACAAUUUCAUCAAUCAGUUGGCAAUUUUUAGUAGGGGUGCAGAUAAUUUCAAAGUACGAUAUUUUUUAUUUGGUAGUGGUAAGAAAUGGUUUUAGUUUUUGUUGCUAGUCAUGUGGUAAAUAAACUUGCCAUUCUAAUAAUUCAGUACUUUCAGAAUUUUUAUUUUGUUUCGUUUUUCUGGUAGAAAACAGAACUUUUCCUUUUUAUAUUGUUUUUACUGGUGUUAGUGCCAAAAUUUUUACAUAUUGCUAUCAGAAGUAUCUAUCUGUGCUAAGGAUUGCUUUAUUUUUACUAUUGUUUUGACUGUUUAAAAUGCUAAAUAAGAAAGUCACAGAUUGGCUAGUUUAUAUCAUUAUUGUUACAUGUAGAAAAGCAGUGGAAAAUUGGAAGAAUAAUUCAAAUUGAAAUGAUGUCAUCCUGUUUUUUGUAUGCAUUUUAAUUAUUUAUUGUUAAAAUUACUUCCAUUUAUAUUAGUUAAAAGCUAUAGAUUUAUGUGUAAAUUGAAUAAUACUUUUAUUUUAAUAAUUUUUAAUCUGUCUUAAAAAUGUUCAUAUAUUCAAUCUGGCAAAAUGUUGUAUUUAGUGAAAACUUAAAGGUUACAUUAAUGUGAAAUAAAUACAGAAAUGUCUUCAUAAUCAAAAUCAUUAUAUUUGCACAAUAUUCUUCAGUGUUGCAACCCAAAAUGUCAUCGAAUCAUUUCCUAUUUCUAGUUUUGUAAGUUGAGAAGCUAUCCCACAACAAUUAUUGAUCUGUGAGAAAUAUUUUAGAAUCGUAAAAAAACUAGAUGUAUUACUUAUUUGCUUCACUUAUUAAAAUGUGCGUUAAAAUAUCUUGAACCAUAUUUAUUGUUUACGAAGGAAAUUUAAAAAAAAAAAAAAAAUUACAAAUUACAUCUAACUUCUUGUUUUAUUAUUUAGUUUUAUUUAACAAAUUUUUAUCUCAAUAUUUACAUGACUGAAAUAAUUAAUGUUUCUUACUAAGCAAAAAAUCACCACAUGUUUUUGUUGAGACAUUGGUUGAAUCAUUUUAUUAGGUGACUUUCUGAAACAAUUUAACAGUUUAAUAUAAAUCUGCUGUUAUAGCUGUAAAAGAUUCUGAAAGUGAAUUUGGAAAUAAAUUUGGUAAAAAAAUUUAAUAAGAAUAAUAAUUUAUGAUAAUUAUGUUGAUGUAAGUUCCUUGAGACCUUGGUAAUUUAAUUUUUUAAUUAUAUCAUGGAAGAUAUUUUCAUGCAUUUAAAUAUGAUACUAGAUGAAGAAAAACAUUUCUUAAAAAAUAAAUAAAUAAAGGAAUUCUGUGCAUAGAAGACAGUUAUAUUGUAUAUCCUUAACAGCUGAGAAACCAACAUAAAUAUGAAAUAAAUUACCUAAAUGGUAUGAUCUUAAUGUAAUUUAUUUUUUUUAUGGUGAAAUGAUGAUAUAAAUAAAAUAUAUCUUUCAAUGUUUUAAACUUCAGGAUUUGAGAAAUUGCCAGCUUUAAUAUUUUCAAGCACACUGCUGCAGCACUGUCAUCAACAUUAAUUGUCAACAUUAAUUGUCAACAUUUUCUAUGCAACCCUUUUUUACCUCUUCAUUAACAAGGGUAAAUCUAGUAUUAGAAUUGUAAACAUUUUCCAGACCAGCUUUAUUUUGGUGGACCUGUGUAGUGCCGUUUGCUCACCUGUUGUGGACGCUUGCCUCCUUACCGGGCGCUCUCUUACUUGAUAGUGGCAGAUGUAAAGCAAAACUGAGUAACUUAUGGUCAAUAGAAGGUGCCCCCAUCCUCCGUCAACAAUCAUCAGCCCUGAAGUGCUUUGCUGUAACAAAACAAUCCAAACCUGGCUCAGAGAUACUCAUAUUUGUUGGUAUUGUUUUGUAAAAUAUAACCUUUUGUUACUCUGUUUUUUUUUUUUUUUUUGUUUUUUUUAAUACUUUGGUUGGUUGGCAUAAAAAAAGACUCAUAAAUUGUGUUGAUGCCAAGAAUUUAAUUAAUUAAAAAAAGUUAAAAGUGAGAUUCCUAAUGGCUGUAAAAUACAGAUGUAAAGUACAUGUUUAUAAAGAAUGUUCUUUAGUUUUGAUUAAUGUCAAAUAAUUUAUAAAUCAUAAUCAGCAUUUUUAAAGCUACUGUUCUUUAUCUUAAAAUUCUAAUAUUAUUUCAUACACAAACAUUUGAUUAAUUGUAUGCCAUAUUCAUUUUUCAAAAAAGGGAUGCUUUCAAAUAUAGUUCUUUCGUAAAGUUUUUCUAGUUUAAACUUCAUGAUAAAAGAACUUGUUGGAUCUGUUACAGAAGAUAUUUGUUGACUGAUAGCAAAACUGAUAUUGCCCAUAAAUAAUUUUUAAGUAUUAUUUGCAUUGUUGCAGUGGAGGAUGAUUGCCUAGCACAUUUUGAGCAUUUUUUUGGAAUUGUAAUUAUGCCAUGUAGAAUUUUAUUAUGAAUUAUAUGUAAAUAUAGAUUUAACAUUGAUAUUUAAGUUACUUCAUGCAUUUUACAAAUUUUGUUUUGAACAAAAUCAUGUCAUGUAAAAUUUUAAAAGUAUUUAUGUGACCAAAAUAAAUAUUUUUAUUUUCA